CAGGCAUAUGCCACUGUGCCCAACUGUACAACUUUUUAAAGUAGAAGUCUUACCUUUUUGUUUUUCAGGAUUUGUUAUAUUUAGAAGAAACUUGUGAAGUCUCAACAGUUGGCUAAAAAGGUAAAUGAUGCAAAACCACUGACUCAUGGACUCCAAGUUGUUAUUAGGUGUCUCGAUCACAUCUACUGCUAUUUGCCCUUUGAGCAAGUCAUUACUCUCUCCAAGACUCAACUGUUUCCAGCCAAGAGAAUUUCAUUCUACUUCCUAUGACUGUUAACCGCCCUCCUCCCCCCCCCACACGCACGUGAAACCAGAUCAGAUGUGGGAAGACUAUAAACAGAAGAGUGAUGCAGGACUGUCAGGCCAUAGAAGUGGAGUCAUCUGUAAACUAGAACAAAAAUCAAUUAUAUUUAAUUUUCCUUAUAAUACCUGAGCUGCCAGCUUCUACUAAGAUGUGUCUCCUCUAAUAAAGGCUUUUGGCAAGCUACCUUGGCUCCAAUUCAAAUGCUUUAUCCAGGACAAGUUUAAGAUGGUCUCGCUGUGGAGCCUCCACUCAUAAGCUAGGUUUGCCUCUUCUAUUGUGGCCAAUUCGGUUUUUCUUCUCAGUUUCCUGCUUCAGAGGGCAGAGACAUCUAUAAAAUGCAUGGAGUUGAUCUUUCCCCUUUCAUGCUGAAUAAUCAAUACAAGUAGUUUCUGGCCAUUCAAAAAUUAUCUAGGGGGCUGGAUAAAUCUUCAUUACCCAAAGUGUCCUCUAAACUCUUUACAGUCAAUUCCACUUGGAGAUCCUACCAACUAAUUUGCUUUUGACUUUUCUAGAAUUUCAUAUAAAUGGAAUUACCUGUACAUAGUUUUCUGCAUCUGGCUUCUUUCACUUAACAUAAUGCUUUGAGAUUCAUUUGUGUUGUUUGAGCACCAGCAGUUCCUGUGUAUUGCUGAGAUGUACUCCACAGAAUGAAUAUACUGCAAUUUAUAACUACUAUAACACUACACAUCUGCACAAAAAUUGUUGUGUGGAUGGCCUUACAGGUAAACCUAGAAGUAAUGGCUGGGUAGUAGGUGUUUCACAUUUUAAGAAACUGCCAACUAUUUUCUUACAUGGUUUAUCAUUUUAUACUCUCAACAGCAGUGCAUGAUAAUUCCACUUGUCUAACACCUGAUCAGUCUUUUAAAAUCUAGACAUUUUGAUGGUAUGCAGUAUUUUAUUAAUGUGGUUUUCAUUUGCAUUUUUCCAAUGACUAAUGCGGUUGUGUGUCUUUGCACAGAUUCAUAUUUCUUUUAGGAAAUGUUUUUUUUCUAUUCUUUUAUUCAUUUUUUGAAAACAGGAUUGCUUGAUAAAUAAGUUGUAAAAAUUCUUUAUGUAUGCUGGAUACAAGCCCUCUGACUUGUAUCUCACUUAAUUUUUACAAUGUAAAUAAAGGUCUACUCACAAAAGAACUGGGAAGUUAAGGUGGAAGUCUUACAUGCAAAAUUUUACUAUGUUAAACAAUGCUCCCUACUGAGGCAAAGCAUAUUCCCUGUAAUAUGGUGAGGGUUUUUCUUAGUAGGCUGAGCAGAAGCUCCAUAAACAUAAUUCUUGUUCCAUUAUCUUUUCAGUUAUUUUACUGCUACCCAAACUUUUACAUUUUAUUAUCAUGUCUCUUUUCUUCUUCUUUUUUUUUUUUACGGUGCUGGUUAUUGAACCCAGGGCCUCACACAUGCUAGUCAAACACUAACUACCACUGGGCUACACCCCCAAGCUUCUAUCAUCUCAAUAGUCACUGGGAAAUUCUACCAAACAUUAGAUCCAGAUUCUGUUUUCAAGAGAUAGCACUUAGUACUUGAGCUGGAUUCUAGAUUAAAGCAGGAAAGGAAAAUAAGAUGUAAGACAAGGAGAACUGGCAGGGGUUUAGCUUCAGAGGACAGCAAUUAUACUUCCCUAUAAAAUAAGCAGAAACUAGUAGCUCAAUUAAGUAUUUAAAACCAUAAUUUGAUAACUGACUUAUUACAUAAGGAUUAAUGCAAAAAUUAGUUUUUCAUUGUCCUAAUGUUCACACUGCACUGGAUCAACACUUGCCCAUUUUAACUCUUGUAAGCAGAACAGAUCUAUGGUGCAUGUACUCAGGAUUAUCACAGAGUAGAAAAACACCUUCAUGUUCUCGUGUUUUAAAUAUUUGUGUUUCAGGUUUUUCUUUCACUUUAAAAAGGCUUCAAAAAUGAUAAUUGCUCGACUGUAGUUAUCUUAGAAGUUUUCUAAAAAUAUUGUUAUUUUGUUGUUCCCAAUGGAAAACACAUGCCAAAUGAAGAAAAUAAAAGCUGAAACUCUUACUAUCUCACAUUUGUGAGAUGUGUGUUCUAAUUAUCCUGUUUCACCCAUAAGGGGUAAAAAAAAGUGGGAUCCUAUUAUGCAGGAGCUACGGGUGACAAGGAGAAACCUGCUGUCUGAGGAGCACUUCUGCUUCCAGACGGA
RNAcentral lists this long non-coding RNA (2446 nucleotides) under Marmota monax (woodchuck). The record is from RNAcentral. Lineage: Eukaryota; Metazoa; Chordata; Mammalia; Rodentia; Sciuridae.